UGUAGGCGGUUUGCCAAGUCAGAUGUGAAAGCCCCGGGCUUAACCUGGGAACUGCAUUUGAGACUGGUAGGCUAGAGGUUGGAAGAGGAGAGUGGAAUUCCCAGUGUAGAGGUGAAAUUCGUAGAUAUUGGGAAGAACACCAGUGGCGAAGGCGGCUCUCUGGUCCACACCUGACGCUGAGGCGCGAAAGCGUGGGGAGCAAACA
Molecule: ribosomal RNA, 205 nt
Filed under: uncultured bacterium
Lineage: Bacteria
Description: partial 16S ribosomal RNA
Rfam family: Bacterial small subunit ribosomal RNA
Source: RNAcentral